AACGAUUGCGACCCCAGGUCGGGC
Molecule: ribosomal RNA, 24 nt
Filed under: Calciphila gillettii
Lineage: Eukaryota; Viridiplantae; Streptophyta; Magnoliopsida; Gentianales; Apocynaceae
Description: partial 26S ribosomal RNA
Source: RNAcentral